GAUGAAGAACGCAGCGAAAUGCGAUAAGUAGUGUGAAUUGCAGAAUUCCGUGAAUCAUCGAAUCUUUGAACGCACAUUGCGCCUUCUGGUAUUCCGGAAGGCAUGCCUGUUCGAGAGUCAUUAACAACCGUUUCGAUCCCUUUCUUUCAGAAAUUACAAAGAGGAAAAGGGUUUGGUUAUGGUGGAGGAGGGAAAGGGAGCGUUUAGCCUGUAAAAAAAGAGGCUGUGUUCCGCCUCCCCCCCAAAAUUGUACAGGCGGUCGUGUGCGCCCACGCAUCGAGGUGUUGUAAAAGCUGCCACGGCACUUUUCACCUGUGCAGUGCGAGAUUGGCCAGCCGGUUUAAAAACCCCUCCAAACAAUCAAGGGUUGACCUCGGAUCAGGUAGGGAUACCCGCUGAACUUAAGCAUAUCAUAAGCGGAGGA
This 424-nucleotide unclassified non-coding RNA is filed under the name soil metagenome. RNAcentral describes it as "partial contains 5.8S ribosomal RNA, internal transcribed spacer 2, and large subunit ribosomal RNA". The stretch from base 1 to 120 matches the Rfam family "5.8S ribosomal RNA", at positions 35 to 154 of the family's 154-position model. The record is from RNAcentral.